AAACAAUACAAUUAGGCUUAUUCUUGUUCAACAUCAUGGUUCCAAAUGGAAACUCUUAAAAGUUUUUAUAUUCUUGUAGUGAUGAUGAUGUUAUGAUUUCCUUGACUUUGAAAUCCGAUGCUGAUUUAUUUUUUAAAUCCCAGUUGAUAAUUCUCACAGUCUUAAAAGAAACUACUUGAAAGGCUGGAGUGGCAGGAGAGGGGAGCAGGAAAAGAAAAAUUAAGUGCCUGCUUCAAACCAAAUACAGUAUACUCAGUGGACUGAUGGGGGAGCCAUAAAGCCUUGUAAAUUAAAAUAUGCUGAACAUCCUGGUGUUUUGUCAGUAUGUAUUCAUGUGUUUCUUUUCUCCUAAAAUCCCAGAGGAAACCACCUGGUAUGCAUCAUCAUAAUAUCAAUGUGAAAUGAAGGCAAAUUAAAUGAAUUUGCACUUCAAUCAAACAUAUGUUUUCUUUAUUUCAAAUAAAUCAACUAAAGUUGUAUUUUA
Molecule: long non-coding RNA, 484 nt
Organism: Pantherophis guttatus
Lineage: Eukaryota; Metazoa; Chordata; Lepidosauria; Squamata; Colubridae
Source: RefSeq, a predicted model, not a curated record